This 465-nucleotide ribosomal RNA is filed under the name Vreelandella stevensii. RNAcentral describes it as "partial 16S ribosomal RNA". It matches the Rfam family "Bacterial small subunit ribosomal RNA", at positions 338 to 795 of the family's 1533-position model. The record is from RNAcentral. Lineage: Bacteria; Pseudomonadati; Pseudomonadota; Gammaproteobacteria; Oceanospirillales; Halomonadaceae.
CCUACGGGAGGCAGCAGUGGGGAAUAUUGGACAAUGGGGGCAACCCUGAUCCAGCCAUGCCGCGUGUGUGAAGAAGGCCCUCGGGUUGUAAAGCACUUUCAGUGAGGAAGAACGCCUGGUGGUUAAUACCCAUCAGGAAAGACAUCACUCACAGAAGAAGCACCGGCUAACUCCGUGCCAGCAGCCGCGGUAAUACGGAGGGUGCGAGCGUUAAUCGGAAUUACUGGGCGUAAAGCGCGCGUAGGUGGCUUGAUAAGCCGGUUGUGAAAGCCCCGGGAUCAACCUGGGAACGGCAUCCGGAACUGUCAAGCUAGAGUGCAGGAGAGGAAGGUAGAAUUCCCGGUGUAGCGGUGAAAUGCGUAGAGAUCGGGAGGAAUACCAGUGGCGAAGGCGGCCUUCUGGACUGACACUGACACUGAGGUGCGAAAGCGUGGGUAGCAAACAGGAUUAGAUACCCUGGUAGUC